This 563-nucleotide long non-coding RNA is filed under the name Ricinus communis (castor bean). RNAcentral's name for it is "long non-coding RNA (RCOM_LNC001129)". Lineage: Eukaryota; Viridiplantae; Streptophyta; Magnoliopsida; Malpighiales; Euphorbiaceae. The record is from RNAcentral.
UGUUUAUAUAGACCACCGUGCCAAUCCAAUCAGCAACAUUUUUCAAGUGGAAUACAUUAGCAACUAAACUUUGACGUAAGCUUAGUGUUCUCGGUAUUCAUUCUCAGCCAUGUGCACUGCAAGGUUUGUCAGCUUUUAACCUGUUAGAUCCAUUCCAGUGAGGAUCUGAUAUGCAGAAUGCUUGGUGCUAACAACUUUGUUGAGGUACCAAUUUAUAUCUGCAGGGUUAGAUUGAGGAUGAGGAGAAGAAUCCACAUUGGAAAUGGUAGGAGGAUGUUUGAGGAAGAAGCCAUCUUUACAGCCUCCUGAUUGCUGGACUUAUGAACUACUUCAGCAGGGUACUUACCAUCAGAAAUCCUGUAUCAAAAAAGGAAAAAACAGACACAUUCAUAAAUGUAUAAAUUUUCUCCCAUUAAGAAAUGAUGUAAAGCUCAAUCUUGAUGCAGGAAAAUGAAAGCAUACCCCUUAGCAUUAGGGCAGAAAAGGAUGGCAUAAUCAUGGGCCUUGCAUGUGAAAGUACUGGUACCAUCAUCAAAGGCAUAGCUAUAAGCUCUCGGGCAAGC